This 321-nucleotide small RNA is filed under the name uncultured bacterium. RNAcentral describes it as "bacterial SSU rRNA". It matches the Rfam family "Bacterial small subunit ribosomal RNA", at positions 64 to 358 of the family's 1533-position model. The record is from RNAcentral.
UAACAGGAAACAGCUUGCUGUUUCGCUGACGAGUGGCGGACGGGUGAGUAAUGUCUGGGAAACUGCCUGAUGGAGGGGGAUAACUACUGGAAACGGUAGCUAAUACCGCAUAACGUCGCAAGACCAAAGAGGGGGACCCUCGGGCCUCUUGCCAUCGGAUGUGCCCAGAUGGGAUUAGCUUGUUGGUGGGGUAACGGCUCACCAAGGGGAAGAUCCCUAGCUGGUCUGAGAGGAUGACCAGCCACACUGGAACUGAGACACGGUGAAGACUCCUACGGGAUUCUCGCAGUGGGGAUUCUAGAAAUCUCNUACAUAUAUCAG